Molecule: ribosomal RNA, 463 nt
Filed under: Vreelandella stevensii
Lineage: Bacteria; Pseudomonadati; Pseudomonadota; Gammaproteobacteria; Oceanospirillales; Halomonadaceae
Description: partial 16S ribosomal RNA
Rfam family: Bacterial small subunit ribosomal RNA
Source: RNAcentral
UACGGGUGGCUGCAGUGGGGAAUAUUGGACAAUGGGCGAAAGCCUGAUCCAGCCAUGCCGCGUGUGUGAAGAAGGCCUUCGGGUUGUAAAGCACUUUCAGUGGGGAAGAAAGCCUUGGGGCUAAUACCCUCGAGGAAGGACAUCACCCACAGAAGAAGCACCGGCUAACUCCGUGCCAGCAGCCGCGGUAAUACGGAGGGUGCGAGCGUUAAUCGGAAUUACUGGGCGUAAAGCGCGCGUAGGCGGUCUGAUAAGCCGGUUGUGAAAGCCCCGGGCUCAACCUGGGAACGGCAUCCGGAACUGUCAGGCUAGAGUGCAGGAGAGGAAGGUAGAAUUCCCGGUGUAGCGGUGAAAUGCGUAGAGAUCGGGAGGAAUACCAGUGGCGAAGGCGGCCUUCUGGACUGACACUGACGCUGAGGUGCGAAAGCGUGGGUAGCAAACAGGAUUAGAUACCCCUGUAGUC